RNAcentral lists this ribosomal RNA (274 nucleotides) under uncultured Staphylococcus sp. RNAcentral describes it as "partial 16S ribosomal RNA". It matches the Rfam family "Bacterial small subunit ribosomal RNA", at positions 89 to 355 of the family's 1533-position model. The record is from RNAcentral. Lineage: Bacteria; Bacillati; Bacillota; Bacilli; Caryophanales; Staphylococcaceae.
AUGUUAGCGGCGGACGGGUGAGUAACACGUGGGUAACCUACCUAUAAGACUGGGAUAACUCCGGGAAACCGGGGCUAAUACCGGAUAANAUUUUGAACCGCAUGGUUCAAUAGUGAAAGACGGUUUCGGCUGUCACUUAUAGAUGGACCCGCGCCGUAUUAGCUAGUUGGUAAGGUAACGGCUUACCAAGGCGACGAUACGUAGCCGACCUGAGAGGGUGAUCGGCCACACUGGAACUGAGACACGGUCCAGACUCCUACGGGAGGCAGCAGCC